GGAAUCAACCUUCUCUGAGGAGGAAGGUAGAGAGAAUAAUUGUGUCAAACUUUUCAAAUUGUAAACCAGUGAAUUCAUAUCAAAAGACAAUGACUAUAAACACAAAGGCUAUUUGUAUUGCUGACAGGCACACCCUAAAACGUAUAAGAAGAGGUCUCAGAGGUGUAGUAUAUGGGAUGUUUCUGAUCAACUGUAGGUUUCCAUUUGAUUGGAAGCCGCCUGAACAGGUGGUUUGGGAGAUGCGCAGUGUUGCCCAACGUCACACUCGGUGGUGGUAUAAAAUCCCCUGGGUUUGUCCUCCAGUCCUCCACUUAUCUUGAGAAAAGACCAAGGCAGAAAGCUACAUUACGCGCAAUUGUGGCUGUGAAGAAACCGAUAACAAGAUGACUAAAAUUGUAAUGGCUUACAUUGGGUUUCUUCUCCUUGCCAUGCAUUUUUCAUCACAGGUCCAUGCUCAAAACUCUACCACACAGUCCCCUGCCAUGAAUGCUACGACCAAAGCUGGCAGUACGAGUUCCAACAUGACCAAGAUGCCCGAUGUCACCAAGAACAACAUUGCCAAAGGAGCCAGUUCUUCUUUGCAGUCCAGCUCCUUCACGCUUAUCAUACCCAUCAUGGUGGGGGGCUCACUACAGGGGCGCUUCUAGAGGUUCUGUUGAGCAGUGAACAGACACCGACAAGACUUUAACAUCCCCGGCCUAGAUGGGGUUAACUGUUUCACAAAGAUCACAUUUUAAAAAUAAAUAAUCAGAAAGGCAGUCAUGUGCGCUCCUAACCGAAGAGGUUUGGUGGAGUUGCGUGCUGGAGAACCCAUUUCUACUUCACUGAUGGGAAUUGUUAUUUGCCCUCACACCUUCCGGACGCUUCAAACCAGUAAGCCUUCACACCUCGCACACUGGCCCCAUGCCCAUAGGCCGAACUGUACGUUCUCUCCAUGGAGGCAGUCCAUGAUGAGGAUGCACUCUGCUCUUUGAACCGUUUGGUCCCGCUGUUCCUGUGCAGACACCAAGGGGUAGUUUAGUAAUUUGUUAAAAUAUCUAAAGAGAUGUUGGUUGAGGCACUUCAAAAAUAAGGUAUAGAAUCUGUGGCACAUGCACGGACAGUGGCAUAUCUGCACCUGCAGUGGGUCCUUUGUCAGAGGCUUGAUGUACACUUGUGAUUUAUUUCUAGAAUAUGGCAUUGUAUGGGUUAGCAUAUGUGAGAUUUAAUUGUAUAAAUCAUGAUGUGAUCUGCUUAGAUUUAUUUUUUAAGGCCAGGUUCAAUUAACCUUUAAAAUGUAGGAUACUUGUGACAAUUUUCUUGUAUAAUAAAAAUAUUUUAACAUAAUGUUUCUUCUCCUGUCUCUAAAUUCUAAAGCUUGACCUGACAAGUAAUUUGCUCUGUUCCACUUGUGUCCAGCCCCUUUAUUGAUCACAUAACUUAACCCAGGGAUUUCUUAAGGUAGACUAGGUUUGAUGUGCCACAAAUUAAAUCCUUAUUUUAGAAUGGGGUAUAGGAAUGUUCACCUUUGUCCAGUUGUAGCAUUUAUGCUAUGUCAACUAGGACCUUUCUUGCAUUCCUUGUGGCCAAAACAGUUCAGUUUCCUGACAGUUGACUCACUUGCAGGCUGCUUUAAUUAGAUUUACUUUACCCUAGCUACAUUGACCUGUGACCAGUCCAUUUACUAACUAGCCUACAAAUAUGUUCAGGGGAAGGCUGGCUGUAAGGUAUACUUGAACUGAAACUAAUAGUUUCUUGACACUGGGUCUUGCUGGUUGGCUCUCAGCCAAAGGGAUACUUAGAAUGGUGACAUUCAUCCCAGAAAACCGUGAGUUUUUAAGCUAUAUUGCGUGGUUAUAAGGUCAUACCAAGGAUAAUUUCACAACGCCCUUGAAUCAGACAAUGAAAUUAUUUGACAUUACUGCUAUUAGUCCAUACAGAUUGACAACAGUUUUGUUCUCAAGUGUCAGAUCAGGCAACAUUUAACACAAUUCCUUUUGUUUAGUGCCUAAAAAAAUCUAAUUUUCAGAUGGUACUGGGGGACCUUCAGGUGAGGUGUGAGGCUCACCUUUCCAGAGGCUUCAUAGUGUGUAGUAGAGGCUGUUCAAACUAGUCCCAAAAGAUGCUUGUGGGGGUUGUGAAAUUAACUGAUACUGUUUGAGGAUGUGAGAACGAUUUUGUUUUUCCAGGAUGUGUCAUGGUCUGACUAACACCUUUCACAUAGGCUGUGGAUAAUUUUAACUUGAUUUAUGGGGAUUGAAUGCUAAUCGGUCUUAGGGGGUUUGAAAGGAGGCUUUAGGUUGUGGCAAUAGUCUGGUAAUUUUAGAUUUAAACCAAUUUGUUAAAUUUUUUGGGGACUACCUUUUUGGCAUGUUAUUUUCAGUAUUAAUACGUUUCACAUGUCAGUUAAUUUUUUUAAAAUUAAAGCCGCAAACAUGGUCUCUUGCUUGAGUAAGACUGCUCCAAUGUAGGUUUUUCCGCCUAGCUCAGUACUCUGUGGUGGUUGGGCAGCCAGUGGAAAAUACGGAGUGUUGGUAAUGUUCUCUAGUUGUGCCACGAUUAGCUCGGUGUUCUGUCACUGCCAAGUCUAAGGGUAGACCUAGAAAAUUCAAGCCCCUUGGGUGCUGCCAUAGUUAUAUU
Molecule: long non-coding RNA, 2619 nt
Organism: Oncorhynchus kisutch (coho salmon)
Lineage: Eukaryota; Metazoa; Chordata; Actinopteri; Salmoniformes; Salmonidae
Source: Ensembl